UUGCAUGAUGUUGAUCAACUCGUUCAUUUUGUCUUUUAGCUCGAGCAUAUCUGUGUUUGGGAGAUCCAUCAGUCUUGGAGUAUUGUGUCUGGUGAAGUAUCUGUGAGGACGGGUUGAGUGCAAAGGUACGGUUCUACGAGCGCGAGCAAUGAUUCCUGCAAAACAGCAAACAGGUUAAUAUGCAUGAAUGCAACGUCUAUCCAUAUGAGGAAGAUUCUGUCUUUUGAUUCUGGUUUCAUCGAGACAGAUAAUAUUUCAUGAUUCCUGCAAAACAGCAAACAGGUUAAUAUGCAUGAAUGCAACGUCUAUCCAUAUGAGGAAGAUUCUGUCUUUUGAUUCUGGUUUCAUCGAGACAGAUAAUAUUUCACCAAUAACAUUUUGACAUCCAGAUGUCUCUCAACCAGAUUCUCAAUCCAUAAUGCUCCCCAUAUGGCUAGACAUAGGUUUGGUGCAGAUGAAUGCAAAAUGAGAAUGAUGUAUGAAUGCAAUGCACUGUGCCAUCCUCCAAGUCAUCUGAUCAUCUGUUGCUCUGAAUCACAGCCCUGAUUUCUGAACUGAUCAUAACCAUCUGAGGGAACUGUAACCACAAAUCUGACCCACGGGUUCCGAAAUAAACGGAAGAAAGAUACACCAUCAUCAUCAUCAUCAAUCUCUGAGCAGACAUUCACAACCCUCUGAAUCGGCCAGGGGAAUCCGAAAUAAACGGAUCCCCACUGAUAAAUAUCUCGGCCCGGGGAAUCCUGAAAUAAACAGAUCCCCACUGAUAAAUCACGGACAGCACUCCGGCGUCACGGCAAUAAAUGACCAUAAAUCCGACUUAUAAAUAUGACUCGGAUCCACGGAACAAAAAGUCACCAUUCGAGUCACCAUCAAUCACCAUCUGUACCUGUUAAAAUGAUCAUUCCCUCCCCACUCACGGGUGUCAUCUAGCCAGAAAUGGGUAAGAGUCAAAGAAACGCGAAGCAUAAAUAAACCUUUUCGCAGAAUACCAUCAUAUAGCACACACCCGAAGAUAGUAACGAAAUAUUCCACCAGUGGUCUGAACAGCUGACCUUGUGAGUGCAAUUGUCCGUAAGUGGCGCAUACCACCCACUUUCCCAUGCAUCACUCAUUUAGUUCCUAGGGUUUCCUAGCAUUUCAAUCAUAGCCUCGGUAUUGCGGCCUUUACCUCGAGUAACUCCCACCCCAAAACAGAGGGGAACACCUGACAGAGUACAGGCAACAAUAGAUAGUAUGAUGCUAUGCAGAUCAUUAAUUCCAAAGUAUAGAUAACACGUGGUCCUAGGAAUAAAUAAAUGGCAGAUAAUAAACAACACACAAUAAUGCCAACCCAAACCAAUCCUAAAACGUAGGAAGACUCGGCUGUAGGGACGAUGGACCGAGAUAGGUCUUACAUUCUGAGUCCCCAGGCAAAGUCGCCAGCUGUCGCAUCCGUGAAAAAUCAACCGGCGAAGCCUAAAAUAAAACACACAGAGCCGCCACUAAACGUUAUUAUCCCAAGAUAGGGAAAGGAAACGCUCAGAAAACCUGGGAAAGACAUGGUCUCACGACCAGAGGAUAAAAGGUUCGGGAGCGUUACCUGAGGGAAGGUAUUAGCACCCCUCACGUCACUAGUACUCCUAGGAUCCAACGUCCUAGAAAUAAAGAAAGGUUGCUAAACAUCACACACAACAACGGGAACCAGCUGGUGUAGAGGAACGAGGCUCCGAAUAAGUUAUCGGCCACCUAUCCUAGCAUUCUUGUACUGGAACAAGAAGUCAGACCACUGUUAGUUCGCUUAGCGCACGCCAAACAACACAGAAAACAACACAAACAUGCAAGGGUGGCAAACUGAGAGCCCGACACCACUGGAUGGAAUACGUCGCAUCCGAACCAGGAACCACCACUCAAAAGGGCAAACGUGGAGCACGACUGCCAAUCAACUGGCUUACGUCGGCAUCCAACCCAAACAACCAGUAGAUAACAAGUAAAACACACGCAAAAAAGAGAAAAAAGGUUGCCCGGAUGGUCUCGCACGACCACCUGCUACGAUACCCUCGUCGGCACGAGGAUCAGGGCGAGUAGUUCCCUGAAGGGACUUAAAUUGCAAACCGAAAACCGGGGGAAGAUACACAGAUCUAGGGAGCUGAGACUCGAAGCGGCCUAAUGUGUGUAUGCUCGUUAACCCAAGUUCGCGUUUCUCUAUCCACUUGCAUAGCAAACUAACCUAACCAGGAAAAAGCUAGCACACAAGCUACAAUCAUAUAUCAUCAAAUGAGAACAGGUAUCUCAAACAAGCAUGGUCAAUCAGAUAUCCACAUAGCACACGCUAUAACCAAACAAGGGGCUCAAUCAAUCAGGUUUGACUGCCUAAGCAAGUCGUCUGUACAGGCUGGUUUUUGCUCUUAAACCUUGCCAUUACGAGGCUAAGGUGUUGAAGCAGAUGAAAGGAUGAAGUGAGGAUCAGACCUCACAGCUCUUAUCCCUAACCAGGGAGAGCUGACAAAAUGAGCAUGGGUCCAGAAUAGGGGAACCCCUUAUACUCGAUGACUCUGACACAACAGAUCUUGGCUUUGAUCUCGAUGCUACAACCAUGUAAUGGAGCAAUGAGAAGACUCACAGAAUAGUGGGGGGUAGCUGCAUACCCCUACCUUCCACCAAUGCCUUACUUGAAGCUUUUCCUGCUUGGCUUAAAAAUAAACAUACACAAGCAUUGGCCUCUUAAGGAGGACUUCAGACAAUUUGCCCGGCCCGGAACAGCCGGGCUCCAGACUACAAGAAGUUUUAAGAAGUUACCUCAAUGCAAAUUGCUUAUGCAAAGCGAAGCAAAGCCAAUAGUUCACAAGGAACUGAGAGCAACUAAGUACCUGAAAACAAUCAAACUCAGUCAGUACUCAAGCAGAAAAACUGUAAACAACAAACAAUUAACCAGUCAAACUAUACAACACAAAGCAAGCUCAAGGCUUAAGCCCAAGCUUCAACCCGCAAAACCAAUGUUAUGUUAGUACAAACAUCCACAACAUCAAUUAAAAUGAUUUGGACCAUUAUCCAUUCAUGCUUUUAAUCCUGAAAAAUCAAGCAAACAUUAGCAACUAGACCACUAGGCCGAGCCUAGGGUCCAAAAGCAAGAAAAAAAUUUAAACAGCAAGGUAUUCAUCAACCAAUCUCAAAUAACAUCAAACAAGAGCAAACAUCAUUGGUCUCAUGUUUAAUUCAUCCAUCAUGUUCAAUUCAUGCACAAACAAUCCCUAUUGGUCCAUAUGAAGCACCAAAAUACAAACAGAAGUAUUUCAUCAAAGCCAUGCCAAAACACAUCAAAAAAAAUCUCAAAUUAAAUACACCUAAACAGGGGUCAAUCAAGUCUACCAUUUCAAAUUUGAGCUCAAUUGGCAAAUGGAACCAUGUCAAUGAAAAUCAACAAAAACAGACACAAUUACAUGCUUCAAUUCACACCAUCAAGCAUACAUCCACUCAAAAAUUCAAUAUCUCAUUGGAACUAAAAGAAAUGAUGAGACCAAAAAGGGAGGUCUAACAUGUGUUAGUUCAUGCAUAUCAAAUUUCAUGGCCAUACAUACAAUAUGAGGAUUCCCAAUCAAUUCCAACAUGUAUCACAUGAGCUUGCAAUUUCAACAACCAGAAAUAUGAAAAAUCAAGUUAUAAUUGAAAAUACAGGAAAAAUCCUACAAAAAUUCAUCAAGCAUCCUAACAUGUCAACAAAGUCAUCACUGCAAAAUUUCAGCCAAUUCCAACAUGCUAGUCAUCCAAUUAAAUAUCAACAAGUUGACAUCAGAGGUGUGACACAAAUUGUCACACCUAGUUCCAGAUUUUGCUGCUCUCUAACCAGUAUCAAAAAUUCAUGAAAUUUACAUAUAAAUAAUCCUCAAUGAGUCAACGACCACACAAAACUUUUUAGCCAUUAUUUUAUGAUAUGGUAGUUCAUGAUCAAAUUGCCAAAAUUAUCAAAAUGUAACACAUGUGAGAAACCCUAGGGCAAUGAUUUUCUACCAAGUACAACUUUGACCAAUAGGUCAAAAAAACCUACAACAAGGUCACAAAGUCAUAGAAAAAUCUCCAAUUUUAGAAUUUUUUACUAUUUUUUAUGAAUUUUUAAAGUGUUAAAUAUUUUUAUGAAUUUUAAUGAAUUAAUAUAAUUAAAUUAAGAUGAAUUGUGUGUUACAGCAAUGGCAGUACCAACAAAGUCAAAUGAAUUAAACUGUCCAAUGCCAACUCCGCGCCUCAUUUAUUUGCUGGCAGUACCUGAUUCGCUUACGGAGGGCGGGAACAGAAAUUUGAAAAAAAAACCAAGCCAGCAUGGAUCUGUCACGACGUUUUUCCAAGAAGCGACACUAUUCAUCCCGUGUUCAUAGCUCCUUCAACGGCGGGAUGCGGUUACGACCAAAUCUCCACCAAAAUUCGCAAGGCGGCAUAUGGUUGGAAAUUCUAAGAGUGUGACAUCACGAAUACGUACCGAAAUCUCCUAAUUCCAACUAUGCUAGACGGAUUCGAACGGUUAAAGGUUUGAACACAAAACUUCAAAUCGAGAUUCUUUAACUCACUCAAAUCAUUUCAUAAAGCGCAAGUCUCAUGCUAACCUAUGAUGAUGAACGAUCUACACAAUUCAUAUAACAAUUUACAAAACCGUUGAGAUUCGAAUUCGCACCUUUGUUUGAUGACAACCCAUGAUUCGUGAUGUUUUGAUGCGCAAUUCCUGAAACAGGUGGAGCUUGAUGAUGGAGAAGGAGAAUGCAACUUGUAGCUUGGCUCGAAUUUGCUCCUAGUGCAGAAAUUCCAAUUCACCAUUGAUCACACACUUUGAACAGUGGAGAUUCGCGGAGCUUCUUGAUGCAAUUUGCCAAAACAGUUCAAGGAGAAGAGGAUUGGAGAUGGAAUCAAAAAGACAUUUUUCGAAUUCCAUGGAGAAUUGGAAGAUUUGAAGGAUUUUUGUGUUUUGUUCUUAGAGAGAAAGUGAUGAAUUUGAGGGAAUUUGGAUCUGAUUUUGGGAUUGUGAAUUUUCUGUUAUAUUAGGAAGUGUUUAUGAAUUUAUAUGUAGCUUAAUCAUUCACUAAUCAAGUUAAUUAGUAAAUGGUAAUGUUAAGUGAAAGUGUCAUUUUCAAAGGAGGGGUAAAAUGGUAAAUACACAAUGACAGCUAGUGCCAGCUGUUUUGACAGCCCAAGCAAUCCCCAAAUGACAUAUGUAGAUGUAGAAACUUGUUCAUGUCGCAGUAGUGAGUAUUUCUCAAAAUUCACAUGGUAUGGUGGUAAUUGAUCCAUUUUUGACCAUUCAUUUUUCAAACCAAAAUCCAAUCACAUGCCUUAACCAUGAAAUGAAUAUCAGAAACACAUUAAAAUGCCAUCCUGAGGUGUUGGAAAAAGCCCAUUCAAAAAUUCAUUAUUUGACAUUUGACAAUUUUGCCCCUGAUCCAAUUCAGUUCCAGUUGAAAAGUGACUUUUUGCCUUGGCCAUUUUUGGAAAAUCCAAUGAAUGCACCCUCCAAAUACAUGUCAAAUGGAGUUUGUGCAUAUAAAGAACUUGCAAUUUGGAACAAAGUAUGUGGUAGUUAUGGCCUCCUGAUUACGGUCUUUUCUGAAAUUCAAUGAGCCAUAUCUUGCAAACCACACAUUGGAUUUUCAAGUCUUGGACUUUUUGGAAAGGUGUGGGAACAAGAUCUAAUCGUUAUGUUGAAACAAUUCUUCAUUUGAAGCUUCCUGGACAUCUGUUUUUAAGUGUCAAAAACUUUCCAUUUUUGGAAACUUCAGUUACAAGUCACUGCUAUUUUUAGGCAGUUUUUGUCCUGACCUUGAUUUUUUCUUUCUUUUAAGCUUUGAGAUGUCAUUUAACACUUGUCCAACAUGAAUGAAGUGUGUCUAACUUGUCCACCUCCAAAUCCACCAGAUCAUGUACAGUUGACCACAGUUGACUUUUCAUCUGACAGAUGAAUGGCUAGCAAUGCAUAGAGCAAUUUGAACCCCAAUCUCAACUGAAAUGCUUCAAGGGUGAUACCCUAGCCUCCAUAAGCACCAUGUAGUCACAAAAUGAUCCUCAUCUCCUCCAUAAACCCCCAUCUCCUGAUCCAGCCCUGAUUGUUCCCAAGUACAAGAGCCCCUGCAUUAGGGUUGACCAGUGGUCAAAACCCUAAUCUCAAGGAAUCUUCUCCAAUCUCCUGAUGACAUCCAACCAUGAUGAUGAUGAUGUAUCAAUUCAAACAAUAUGAAGACCAAUAUCCUUGGAAAUCAUGAAACCCUAAUUUCAGCCCCAUCCUCAGAUGGCCAUGAUCAGUCAGUAAAACCCUGGCUUGCACCUUUGAACUUCCUCAGCUUCUGUCAAGACUUGGGAAGAUGGCUUGCACAAUGUAACCACAUGAUAUGCAAUAUGGAAUGCCUAAAGUCCUAAGAUGAUAUGCAAAUAUGUUAAUGCUAGUCCCAAGAGAGGAGGGCAAAUUUUGAGGUGUUACAGUUUGUUAUCGUCUCCACAGGGAUUAUGUGAUAUUGCUGCCGUUUGACAGUUGUUAAGUUCUUAACUUAUAGUAACAAGGGGGUUUUAGAUUGUGGUUACGGUAUCUUGCAUAAAAAGUAAGAAAUUGCGUAAAAGUUUUGGUUUUACGAUUUGAGAAAGAUUGUCAAAGUUAGGGUUCGACGAUCACUUUGCAUGCAUAUGUCCGAUCAAACAAUACUCAUAAACUCCAUUAGAUCAUAAACACAUCCACAAAGUCCUCCCGAUGUGUUUAUCUCUAACACAUAUUGUGGGUUUUCCCAUUAUGAUCCAUUGUUGAUCUCUCAAACAAUCUAUCAAAAUGACAACUUUUAGGUUUAACUUUUUAGUGAACAAACUCAUUCAAUACUAUCUCUAGCUAAAGAACAAGGAUGGAUGAAAACCUUAGGUCAAGAGUUGGGAAGACACCUUUCAAUAAUAAACCAACACAAAGAGUUAUCAAUAAAAUAAAGUUUCACCUAUAUAUUCAUCAUCAAAGAGUUUACAAAUGAAGAUCAAUCCAUUUACAUACAAUGCUUAUGAUCAUCUACAUCUAACCUUGACAAAAUGAAGGAUUAGCUUACCAUUUUCAUGGUAGCUUGCACAACAAGUUUCGGAAGAAGGUUGAUCAACAUCCGAGUCGAAGAAUCGAGAUUGGAUGGGAAUCCACCUUCUUUUUGUGAAAUAUUAUCAAGAGAAGAAGAAAUAUGAGAAAAAGGGGUUUCUAAGCCAAAAAACAAGUAAAAAGAUGAUCCCAAGAAAAAUGAAGAUGAAAAGAUGUUGUUCCAAAAAGUAGCCCCUGCUAUUUAUAGUACUGGUUACUGAGUUGUCAUGCUCGCUAGGCGAGCAGAAUGGUUCGCCUAGCGAGCCCCAAAAUAGGCCACCAAAAGAGGUUGCGCCCAGAGGAAUCAUCCAAGUCCAGUUUUCAUCAGUUCGCUAGGCGAAGCCCACACUUCCUCCUUCGCUCCAGCGAGACUUGAGGGUUUUGCUACUGGAAUUGCUCGCUGGGAGCUCGCUGGAUGUUAUCCUAGAGAAUGUUGGUGAAUAAGCCACUGGAAGCGUUCGCUACUUCCCUCGCCACAACGAGUUUUGAUCAUUUUGCUACUGUAAAAUUCUAGGAGUGUUCGCUGGUAACUCGCUGCCUGUUUGCCUAGCGAGUACCUCGCUACCUCACUCGCCUAGCGAGCUUGCUGAUGUUUGCUUUCUUUAUUGGUUCCUUUGCCAUCUUUCUUAUGCCUUAGUUUUCUACUCUUUCAUGCCUAAUUCCUGCAUAAUAACACACAAAUUAAAGGUACCAAGAUCAUUUCACAUUGUAUUGCAAAUCAUCAAAAGCAAGGGCGGUUUCGAACACUUUUUCGACAAAAAGGAGUGAAAGAUGCCCACAUUUGAUAGCUCAAAUACAAGAUCAUUUCACAUUGUAUUGCAAAUCAUCAAAAGCAAGGGCGGUUUCGAACACUUUUUCGACAAAAAGGAGUGAAAGAUGCCCACAUUUGAUAGCUCAAAUAAACACACUUUGGCAUCUAACACACCAUAUCAAAAUUUCUCUUGUAAAGCACAUCAUCAUUGAGGUAGAAACUGCCUGACAAUCUCCUCAAGGUCUUCCUAUCUUUCACAGAUGCCCUAGGCGGGUAAAUCUGGCUCUGAAGGAAACACUUGAUAUCAUAGUACCACGGCUUAUCAUCCUUCACGUCUUCAAUUGUAAAUACAUGAGCUGGUCUAUCCAAGCGCAUUACAGUGAUGUUGGGAACUUCAUUCCAAAGUCUUACCAUAAUCAUCAAAGCAAGUGUAGCGAGAGCGUCUGCCAUCCAAUUCUCAUCUCGAGGAAUAUGAUGGAAGUCAACCUCAGUAAAGAACGUUGAAAUCCUCCUCGCAUAAUCCCUAUAUGGAAUAAGGCCAGGCUGAUUCAUUUCCCAUUCACCCUUAAUCUGAUUAACAACGAGGGCCGAAUCACCGUAAACAUCGAGAUACUUGAUCCUAAGAUCAAUGCAUUCUUCCAAUCCCAUAAUACAUGCCUCAUAUUCAGCCAUAUUGUUCGUGCAUUUGAAAGUUAGGCUUGCUGUAAAAGGGAAAUGUGUGCCCUGAGGAGUAAUAAUCACUGCCCCAAUACCAUUUCCAUAUUGAUUUACAGCGCCAUCAAACACCAUACUCCAUCUGGAACCAGGUUCUGGCCCUUCAUCAAGUGUAGGUUCAUCACAAACUUUCAUUUUCAAAUACAGAAUCUCCUCAUCUGGGAAGUCAUACUGAACUGACUGAUAAUCCUCGAUUGGUUGAUGUGCCAAGUGGUCAGCCAAGAUACUAUCUUUAAUAGCCUUCUGAGCUCGAUAAUCAAUGUCAUACUCGGAUAACAACAUCUGCCAACGGGCAAUCCUCCCAGUUAAAGCAGGCUUCUCAAAGAUAUACCUGAUCGGAUCCAUUUUGGAUAUCAGCCAAGUCGUGUGAUUCAACAUAUACUGGCGUAAGCGCUUAGCAGCCCAAGCCAAAGCACAACAUGUCUUCUCAAGCAUUGAGUAUCGAGACUCACAAUCAGUAAACUUCUUACUCAAGUAGUAAAUAACAUACUCUUUCUUUCCUGAUUCGUCCUGCUGACCAAGGGCACAACCCAUUGAGUCUUCAAGAACGGUCAGAUACAUAAUUAAUGGUCUCCCUUCCACAGGCGGAGACAGAAUCAGAGGUUCAGACAAAUAUUCUUUAAUACUGUCAAAAGCCUUCUGGCAAUCCUCGGUCCAAUCAUGAGACUGAUCUUUCCAGAGUAGCUUGAAUAUCGGCGCACAUGUGGCAGUCAUGUGGGAUAUGAAUCUGGAAAUGUAAUUCAAACGGCCAAGAAAAUCUCGGACUUGCUUUUCAGUUUUGGGCGCAGGCAUCUCUUGUAUUGCUUUGACCUUUGCAGGGUCAACCUCAAUACCUUUUUCACUAACAACGAAGCCCAAUAACUUGCCGGAACGGACUCCAAAUUUACACUUGUUGGGAUUCAGACGAAGCUUGUACUUCCUCAAACGUUGAUAAAGCUUUAACAGGUGCUCGACAUGUUCAACUUCCGUUCUUGACUUCGCAAUCAUAUCAUCGACAUAUACCUCGAUCUCCUUGUGCAUCAUAUCAUGAAACAAGGUAGUCAUAGCUCGUUGAUACGUGGCUCCGGCGUUCUUCAAACCGAAAGGGAUCACUCAAUAACAGAAUGUUCCCCAAGGUGUGAUGAAUGUUGUCUUCUCCAUAUCCUCGGGUGCCAUCUUAAUUUGAUUAUAUCCAUAAAAUCCGUCCAUAAAUGAGAAGACCUUGAAUUUAGAUGUAUUGUCUACCAACAUAUCAAUAUGUGGUAGAGGGAAAUCAUCUUUCAGAUUAGCUUUAUUCAAGUCUCUAUAGUCCACACACAUCCGGACUUUUCCAUCUUUCUUAGGCACGGGCACAAUAUUGGCCACCCAUUGAGGAUAUGUAGAAGUCACCAGAAACCCCGCAUCAAUUUGCUUCUGAACUUCUUCUUUUGAUUUUACUGCCAUAUCAGGAUGAGUUCUUCUGAGCUUCUGCUUCACAGGCACGCAUUCAGGCUUCAAAGGCAGAAUGCUGCACGAUAUUAGUAUCUAGACCAGGCAUGUCUUCAUAUGACUAGGAAAAGACGUCGACAUAUUCUCGUAGCAACUCAAUCAACCCCUUCUUAACAGACUCUUCCAAGAGUGCCCCAAUCUUUACUUCUCGCACACAAUCCUCAGACCCCAAGUUACUGAUCUUCUCUUCAUGCUCAAUAGACGGGUAAUCUCGUCAGGAAUCUCUUCAACAUCAUCUUCUUCCGCCUCAAAUAUAGGGAAUUCAAAGUUGGGAGAUGGUGUUGGAUCAUUAUGUUCAAUGGGUUUGAUCAACCUGCAUAAUAAUUUUGGAUAUAAAGAAUUUUUAGAAUUCAAACAAGGCAAAUCAUUAUGCAGAUGAAAAGAUUGAUUUUAUUUUGUUUUUAGGGUUUUAUGUGAUCACCAAUUUCAUGCAAAAGCAAAAAGGGAAAAUAAUUGGAAAAACAAACGUUUAACAUGAAUUUAUUGAAUGAAAGUCUCAUUGUAUUUAUGCGCCAACAAUAUCAUCACUUCUCCUUUUGGCAUGAGAGAAGGGUUUUUAAACACAAUGAACAUUACUUUGACUUAUGGAUAACUGUUGGAAUAUCCACAACGACCCAAUUAUUGCAGAUUCCUCCAGGGAUGACGAAAUUUCCAGAAUCCUCUUUGUCCUCUUCCAAAAUUGCAGCAGCCUCUUCGUCUUGACCAUUAUGGAUGAAUCCUCCACUCUUGAACAAACCUUGCUUGUUGAAGACCCCAGAAGAAUAGCCUAUGCCAGCCCGGGACUUGUUGUCUUCCAACUUGAUCAUUUGCCCCAAUCCAGCAGUUGCACCAUGCUCAAUGGCCAACUUUGCAUCUUUAUGGAAGCAAAUGAAGGAGUUCUCUUCUCAACAGGUUCAGCAAUAGAUAAAGCUUGGAACGGUGUUCCAACUUGAUCCUCGGCAUCUAUAUAAGAGAAGGAAGACAAAUGGCUAACCAGGAGAUCCUUUUCUCCCCCUACCACCACCAUCUUCUUAUUCUUUACAAAUUUUAGUUUCUGGUGUAGGGUGGAUGUCACGGCGCCAGCCUCGUGAAUCCAUGGUCUGCCUAGGAGACAGCUAUACGAUGGCACUUACAGGUAUUGGACCUUCCAUUAGACCUUUAGUGAACGUCCGAUUUUGACUGGGAGAUCAACCUCACCAAUCACAGUUUUGCGAGACCCAUCGAAAGCCUUCACAACUACUCCAUUCUGCCUCAUGGGAGGCCCCUGAUACGAUAACUUCGCGAGAGUGGUCUUCGGUAAUACAUUCAAUGAUGACCCAGUGUCCACCAACACAUUGGACAUGGCAUCAUCCUUGCAGCUCAUAGAUAUAUGUAAUGCCAAGUUGUGGUCUCUUCCCUCCUCGGGAAGAUCAGCGUCGCAAAAACUCAGGUUGUUACAAGCGGUGAUGUUUGCAACAAUGCUGUCAAAUUGCUCUAUCGUGACAUCGUGAUCUACGUACGCCACAUCCAACACCUUCUGUAGAGCUUCUCGGUGUGGUUCUGAAUUUAAUAGCAAUGAUAACACAGAUAUUUUGGAUGGAGUUUGUAGAAGUUGGUUUACAACAUUGUACUCGCUCCUUUUGAUGAGCCUCAGCAUCUCAUCACAGUCUUCUUUCGUAUUGCCACUCGGGCCAGCAGAAGCAGGAGUUUUCAAUGUAGAGGAGGGCUUAGCAACAAGUGUCGGAUUCGGAGUGCUCACAGCAUUCCCAAUCGGGCGUUCAACAAAAUCAGCAUCAACACUUCCUCGAGCAUCAGCUUGAGGCUUCAACGGAGCCGAAAAUACACGACCGUUACGGGUCAGCCCGCUGACGUCAGCAAUAUUAACGACAGAUGAAGAGGGUAGGGGCACCUCUUUCCCAUUUUCCACUACUACAACAUUGUAGCAAUAAGGGACUGCUUUCUCGGAGGACUACGGUACAGGUCCGGCUGGCUUGAUGACGAGAGUAGGAGAAGCCUUCUUCUUGCUGCCAUCGUACUUGAUGACAACAAGCUCAGGUAUCCGGAAUACCGAAGAAAUUACGUUAACUUCGAGAGCAUCUUCGUCAACAUUUCUGUUCUGAAGGAUCUCAAUAACUCCCUCAUCUAACAUUUCUUGCACAUCUCUGCGCACCUGGCGACACCCUCUCUGAUUAACAGAACAGACUCGACAUCUAUCAUGGUCAUGCUCAUAAUGGCUAUAGUCACACAGCAAGCGAUGCAUCUCAACCAGCGAUUGUCGGAUAUGGCUGACAUAUUUAACUUUGUACUUGCCAAGACAGCCCUGGACCAUUAUAACAGAUUUCCCAUGCUCGGGCAAUGGGUUCUUCUUCAUGUUUGGACCUACAUCCUCGAAAAACAAAAUCCCACUUCUCACAAGGUCUUGCACCUUGGUCUUCAGGGGAUAACAAUUCUCCACGUCAUGUCCGGGAGCACCGGAAUGAUACACACAAUGAAGCUCAGGCUUGUACCACCACUUGCACCUUGGUCUUCAGGGGAUAACAAUUCUCCACGUCAUGUCCGGGAGCACCGGAAUGAUACACACAAUGAAGCUCAGGCUUGUACCACCACUGGGGGUUAGCAGGUACAGCGGGAGGGUCUCGUGGAGUGAUCAACUUUCUAUCGAUCAGAGAUGGAUAGAGUUCAGCAUAAGUCAUCGGAAUUGGAUCGAAGGUGACCCUCUUUCUCUCAUAGCUGGUGUUGGAAUUGUUGUUGUUGUUUCGAGGCUGGUAGGCCUGCUGUUGCGGACACUAUUGUUGUUGUUGAUAUUGUUGAGUUUGUGGUUGCUGAUAAUGUUGAGCUUCCCUGAAAACAGGUGCUAUAUGAGCCACCUGAUGCUGGUUGUUAACUGGGCGGGCAAUCUUCCUCUUCACAGAGGGUCUUCUCUUUACAUGGGAAGACACAGCAUGUGCCUCUCUGAAAUUCUAGUUAUCAGACUUUGGAUGUCACACUGGUUGUUAUGACAUCCAAUUCUGCACAGACAGGGAUUAUGCAGAACUUAACAGUAAGUGCAGUAAAUAACACAAGUAAUUGUUCACCCAGUUCAGUCCAACAUGACCUACAUCUGGGGGCUACCAAGCCAGGGAGGAAAUCCACUAUUAGCAGGUAUCAAUUCAAAGCUAAACUCACCCGUUUACAACUUAUCACUUAAUCCCUACCCAAUGCAAUUUCAAUCUUAACCUAAGAUCAGAGUUCCUACUCACUCCCCCCUCAAUCACCUCAGUGAUUACUACUUUAAACAAUAUUUAAAGACAAGUUGAAGUCACACUUCAAACAACUCUUGAUUGUGCUUCACAGCUUUAAUCAAGAUACACAGCACUCAUGCUUAAAAGCUUUGAGUGACACAACACUUACAACUCAAUGAACACCCUAUGCAAAGCUAUCAUCUACUUGAUAAUGACUUGGCUUACAAGAUACGUCUAAUACAAGACUCACAAAAAUACAGCAGUGAAGUAUGAUGGACCACACAAAUCUUCACGCCUCAAAAUCCCUGAAACUGAAUGAAGGAACGCCUUCCUUUUAUAUUGCAGUACCCUGGCUUUGCACCUGUAUUCUCCUGAAUUUAAGGUCACGCGAGUUCCCAUAAAUUCAACAUUUAGGUUACUAACAAAUAGGCUAUUUGUUAGGUUCAUUGAAUGUAGCUUGGUUGUUGAUUUCCUGGUUUUUCUCUAAGCUGUUGACUUCCUGAAGAAUAGCCUGAGAAAAGCUGAAACAGAAAACUGAACAACCUACAAUAUAGCAUAUGCUGUCAGGCAUGAAUGUCACGACAUUCAGCUUGACAUCAAGGUCCAUAUGCUGAGUCUGUUUUUUCAGAAAACAGACCGUACAAUUUUGCUGACCUGUACAUGAUCAAAAUGACCAUACUACAGUGACAGCUUACAUUAAUAAAUGUCAAAGUGGUCCAACUAACAUUUACACAAUUGGCCUUAAGUUAGUUCUGUUAUUCUUUUUGAAGAACAAACUAAGUUACAUGCUGAAGUAUAGCAGAACACCACUCUGUCUAAUCUUCAGCAGUGCUGUCAAUGAUGAAUGUCAUAACAUCCAUUUGACAUUCAGUCAAUAGGCCUUAUGCCAGGUUGGUUUUCCUUGAUAACCAGACUGGAAUAAAUACUAAGUUCUGACAGAACACCUGCUGUUCUAUUCCUUAGUAUCUAUUGACAGGUAUGAAUGUCCACACAUCCAGUUUGACAUUCAAUAAAUCCUGUGUUAGCUAGUCCUGCAGUAACUACAAUGUAGUCACACAUACAUGUCAUGACAUCAGUCGACAUUAGUAACCAUCAGUGUUACCAUAUAUGCAGCCAAUUAAACACCUACAAACUCCCCUUUGGCAAAUUUUGGCUAAAACCUUUGAUCCCCAUAACAAAGUUUUAUAGCAGCGGAAUCACACACCUAGCAGGAAAUAUAUACUAGCUAAUACACUCAGAGUGGCAGCACACUCACACACAUACAGAAGUUAAAUAAAACCUCACACACAAUUGCUGCAGGGAGAAUCUGUCGUCCGAGAGUCUGUUGUAGAGACCAUGAGUGUCUGUUGUAGAGACACCACUCUGUUUGUUCAGGGGUUACUCCCCUUUUUGUCAAAAUGUUGCCAAGCCAACAACAUAACCAGAGAAUAACGACAGAGUUACAGGACUUGGUUUUACUUCCCAGUUUAACAAGUUACCAUCCACUUGAUCUUGCUUCACAGCUUUGAUCAAGUAAUCACCCACUUUUGCUUUAUAGUAGGUACCACCAUAUCAGAUGCCAUGAAGUUGUUUCUGACAUCCAGAACCACUCCUGCAUGAAAGCAUCCUUGAACUCCUGCAGAUCAUUGUCACCUCAUGCUCACUAGGGUGGUCUCUCUUACCCUCUUGUAUCCACCCUUGUUGCAAGUAGCAUAGCUAUGAUCUGGUGACCAAUCAUAGCCUAGUACAAAUUGUUUAAUAGGCAGAGAUAUUAAACAAUUUAUCCCAAACAUCAGUGGUUGCUAUAAGGUCUCAGAGAGACAUAAUUCCCAGUUUUCUCCUUAAGUUUUCAAACUGAGUAGCAUCCAGAGCCUUUGUAAAUAUGUCAGCCAAAUGAAGAUCCGUGGCUACAUGUUCCAAAGUGAUCACCUUGUCUUCCACCAGAAUCUCUGAUGAAGUGGUGCUAAUGUCAAUAUGUUUGGUCCUGCUGUGUUGGAUGGGAUUCUUGGAGAUAUUGAUGGCACUGAGAUUAUCACAGAACAAUGUCAUGACAUUUGAGUGACAUUGUACUCAGUGAGCAUCUGUUUCAUCCAAACCAGUUGGAACAACUGCUUCCAGCUUGCUAUGUAUUCAGCCUCUAUAGUGGACAGAGAGACACAGUUCUGCUUCUUGCUGAACCAAGAUAUGAGGUUGUCUCCUAAGAGAAAGCAUCCACCUGAUGUGGCUUUUUCUUGUCAUCAGCACUCCCAGCCCAGUCUGCAUCACAAUACCAGCUAGGACAGGCUCAGACCCAUGUGAGUACAGCAUCCCAUAGUCACAUGUCCCAUUGAUGUACUUGAGAAUCCGUUUGACUUGAUUCAAGUGGCUCACCUUAGGCUCUGCUUGAUAUCUGGCACACACUCCAACUGCAUAAGAAAUGUCAGGUUUACUUGCAGUUAGGUACAACAGACUACCUAUCAUGCUUCUAUACAGCAUUGAUCAACACUAGGCCCUCCAUCAUCUUUGGUCAACUCAGAUGAGUGGGAGCAGGAGUCCUCUUGUGUCCUAGCAUUAUCCAUACCCAACUUCUUAACUUGUUCUUGGCAUACUUGCUUUGGCGAGAGAAACAUAGAGGUCCUCCAUUUGGUUAACUUGCAUUCAAGGAAAUAGGUCAGUUCUCCCACUAGACUCAUUUCAACUCAGACUGCAUCUGGUGAACAAAUUUUUUGUACCAUUUGUUCUGACAUUCACCAAAGACUUAUAUCAUCAACAUAGAUUUGAGCUAUCAUGAUUUUGCCUUCUUCAUCCUUCACAACAGGGUUUUAUCUAUGCCACCCUUUCUGUAUCCAUUUGAGGUCAGAAAUUCGGUUAACCUUUGCAUUACCAUGCUUCUAGGUGCUUGUUUCACCCAUACAAGGCUUUCCUCAACUUGUAUACGUGCUCAGGUUGGUUAGGAUCACAGGAACCCUUUAGGGUUUGUUCCACAUAGACUUCCUCAUUCAGGUAGCCAUUCAAGAAUGCACUCUUCACAUCCAUUUGGAAUAGCUUUAACUUCAGGAUGCAUGCUACCCCCAACAGCAAUCUGAUGGACUCAAGGGCUAGCCACAAGAGCAAAUGUUCUCAUCAAAAUCUACCCCUUCACAUUGAGUGUUAUCCUUGAGCUACUAGUCUUGCUUUUAUUCCUAGUAAUUACUCCUUUCUCAUCAGAUUUGUUUUGUAGAUCACUUGGUACCAAUUGAUGUUGUUCCCUUCAGGUUCUUGGAACUAGCUCCCAGACUUCAUUCCUUUUGAACUGCUCAAGUUCUCUUUGCAUGGCAGUGAUCCAGUAUUCAUCAGUCAGGGCUUCCUUCACAUUCUUUGGUUCAACCUUGGAUACAAAGCAGGAAUUUGAGUUUAUUCCUCUUGACCUGGUAGUUACACCACUGGUGGAUCCCCUAUGAUAAGAUCCUUAGGGUGGUCUUUCUGAAUUCUGAUAGAUGGCACUUUUGGUGGUUGCAUCUACUUCACAUUCAGGAGGAGGUUCCUGUACUUCUUUCAGACUUGACGGACUGUUAGUUGAACUGUCAAGGAAUGUUUCAACAUCCUCCAUGACAUCGCGUUCCUUCCUCUUUAUCGUCCACAAUGACAUUUAUGGAUUCCAUCAGGACAUUGGUCCUGUAGUUGAACACUCGUGUAGGUCUUGUUAUUCGUGGAGUAUCCCAAAAUAUACCUUCAUCACUUUUGGGAUCUAGCUUCCUUCUCUGUUCACGAUCUGUGAGAAUGUAGCAUUUUACUUCCAAAGAUAUGAAAGUACUUCACAGUAGGUUUUCUUCCUUUCCAUAUUCAUAUAGAGUGGAGGAGGUUCCUUUUCUCAAGGUGACUCUGUUGUGAACAUAGCAUGCGGUGUUCAUUGCUUCAGCCAGAAGUGCAUGGGAGCUUCUUUGCAUGAAUCAUUGCUCUGGCAGAUUCUUGAAUAGUUCUAUUUUUUCUUUCAACUAUUCCAUUCUGCUGAGGAGUUAUAGGUGGGGAAACUCCUGACUUAUUCCUUCAGACGAGCAAAACUCAUCAAACUUGGAAUUCUUGAACUCCGUACCAUGAUCAUUCUAAUCCGGACCACACAACUGUCCUUUUCCCUUUGAAGUCUUAUGCACAGGUCUUUGAAGACAUUCAAAUGUAUCUGACUUCUCUCUGAUGAAGCUUAUCCACGUGUAUCUGGAAUGGUUCAUCCACCACCACGUAUGCUAUUUCCCACCAAGACUUUCAACUGCAUAGGUCCCAUUAGGUCCAUGUGCAACAGUUCCAGAACUCUGGAGGUUGUGGGAUGUCCCAGCUUCGGAUGUGACAUCUUGCGUUUGCUUCCCACCUGGCAUUCUCCACAGACUCUUCCUUCAUCAAUCAGGAGCUUUGGAACUUCCUCUGACAGCUUCCUUGAUAUUAUCUUCUUCAUUCCCCGUAAGUGGAGAUGUCCAAGACGUUCUUGCACAAACUUCACAUCCUGUUCUUCCUUGGCUGAGGAGCAAUGUUGUGGAAAAGUUUGAGACUUCAGGUUCCACAAGGUCAGUUAUCUUUGGACCUGGUUCCUCUCUUAACUUCAUGAUUGGUCACCAUUUGUUCACAAUGCAUAGCUCCUUAGUAAACUGAACAUGAAAACCCUUGAUCACACAGCUGACUUAUGCUGAUGAGGUUUGCAGUUAGUCCUCUUACUAACAGCACAUUAUUCAGUUUUGGCACUCCAGAACAGUCCAGUUUGCCACACUUUUAUUUUCCUUUGGCCACCAUCACCAAAGGUCACAUAGCUGGUAGUUGUGAGGUUGAAUAUCUACCAGUAGAUUUUCCAUACCAGUCAUGUGUCUUGAGCAUCCACUGUCAAAGUACCAGUCUUCUCUGGUAAGAAGCCCUUAGAGCAGUGUGUGCUAUCCUAGCAUACCAUUUGUGCUUCUUAAUGGGACAUAGCGCUUAUGUGUUUUAUGCUUAGGCUUAACAUGCAAGGCUUGUAGGGAAACCAUGAAUCCAGUUGCAGAAGGCUUUUAUAAUGACCAAGCCUCCACCAGUGGUGACACCUCCACUCCUGUGGUAUUUCCUCUUCUGAUGAUCAUUCAUCCUAGUUUCUCGAUGUUGAGACGUUGGCUUUGACUUCCGCUUGAACUUCUGAACUUUGGCCUUUGGGCGUUUUGUGUUCAUUGAGGAUCUUUCCCAAAUCAGAAGGUCAGAUUUGGUUUCAGACUGCUGUCCCACCUUUAGAAUCUCCUCCAAGGUGUCAGUUCCCUUAUUCAUCAUUCUGAAUGGAUUUAGUCAUCUGAUUCAGCUUGGAGGUCAGCAGUGUUAUCUCACCAUUAGACCCUCUAUGACAGACAGUUGCAUUUCUCUCAUCUUCCAGUUCCUUGAUGAGUUUCUUUUGCUUUUUCCUUGUGCACGGCACUUCUGCACUGGUGGACACAGCUUCUUAUGGCUGCAUCAAGUUCAUCAAAGGUCAGUUCAUCUGCACGAGUCAAUCUUCCAGAGCACAAACAACUGGUUUAAGUGCUAGUGACAUGUUGGCAGAUUUCACCUUCAGAUUCACUUUCAGAGUCCCUUCAGACCAAUGUGAUAGGCUAAACCCUUAAUUGCAAUUUGAGGUAAGUAGGGCAUUCCAGCUUCUGACGUGUCCAUACCCUUCACGAACCCAAUGACACACUGGAUUCCCUUGCCGUGAUUGAACUUUCAAUGCAGAAUUGAUCCAUUCCUUUCUUAUGUCAGACGGAAGCACAUGUCUACUUCUGAUCACUUGACAAUAUACGAAGGGUCAGAUCCGAACUGUUCACAUGAAUCAGGUUUGUUAUGAAACAAUUUAAAGAGUUAAAAAAAACUCACCUUUAUCUAAGCUUGCUUCGAUCACUUCAUACCAGUAUCCUGCUUCUGACUCCUCUUUAGCAUUAGAUACAAAAGCUAGCCUUUUGUUCUUCUUUCAGCAUACUCACCAAUCCAUUUCAAGGUUUGGAGGAACCAUGGAGUUCAUCUACCUUCACUGUUGCAGAUGUCCUGCGCCCUCCUCUAUGGCUGUGACCUGUCAUAGCAAUCUCCUUAGGCAAGGACCUGAGAUCUUCUUACAAGUUUUCCUUCAGCCAUUUUUCACCUGUCCACCAGAGGUGUUGCAAUUCAAGAAUAUUCAUGUGAAAGUUCAUGAAUAGUCUUCAUCCUCUUUCAUUCCUCAGAUUUUCAAAAACUUGGUGUCAGCAUCUGCGAAGUUUGGACAUUUCCUUCAACCUUGGAAGUACCUUCAUAUGAGUUACCUGAGAGUAUCCCAAACUUCCUUAGCUAGUUUCACAGUGGUGUACCAGCCUGAAGAUGUUCUUUGCUGAUUCCAUGUGAACAAUGCAUUCAAAGGCCUGGAAUUGCCAAGAGCUAAUGCCGUCUUGCUCCUUGUCCACUCUUCUUCAGGAAUCUGCACACUGACUCCAUUUCUUCACCUGUUCCUCAUUGGAUGUUCCCAUCCUUUGUUGACAGCUCUCCAGACUUUGCUGUCUAAGAACCUUAAGAAGGCUAUCAUUACGAGGCUUCCAGUCAUCAUAAUUAGAGCCAUCCAACAUGGGUGGUCUGUUUGAGUAUCCUAAAUCCUUGUCCAUGGUACUAGAAAGUAACUUCCCUAGAUCUCACCCAGAAAUUCAAGGCAGGGUGCCUGCUCUGAUGCCAAUUGAAUUCUAGUAUCAAGACUUUGGAUGUUCACACUGGUUGUUAGACAUCCAAUUCUGCACAGACAGGGAUUAUGCAGAACUUAACAGUAAGUGCCAGUAAAUAACACAAGUAAUUGUUCACCCAGUUCAGUCCAACAUGACCUACAUCUGGGGGCUACCAAGCCGGGAGGAAACCACUAUUAGUAGUAUCAAUUCAAAGCUAAACUCACCCGUUUACAACUUAUCACUUAAAUCCCUACCCAAUGCAAUUUCAAUCUUAAACCUAAGAUCAGAGUUCCUACUCACUCCCCCUCAAUCACCUCAGUGUUACUAUCUUUAACAAUAUUAAAGACAAGUUGAAGUCACACUUCAAACAACUCUUGAUUGUGUUCACAGCUUUAUCAAGAUACACAGCACUCACGCUUAAAGCUUUUGAGUGACCACAACACUUACAACUCAAUGAACACCCUAUGCCAAAAGCUAUCAUCUACUUGAUAAUGACUUGGCUUUACAAAAUACGUCUAAUACAAGACUCACAAAAAUACAGCAGUGAAAGUAUGAUGGACCCACAAAUUCUUCACGCCUCAAAAUCCCUGAAACUGAAAUGAAGGAACGCCUUCCUUUUUUAUAUUGCAGUACCCUGGGCUUUUGCAUCUGUAUUCUCCUGAUUUAAGGUCACGCGAGUUGCCAUAAAUUCAACAUUUAGGUUACUAACAAAAUAGGCUAUUUGUUAGGUUCAUUGAAUGUAGCUUGGUUGUUGAUUUCCUGGUUUUUUCUCUAAGCUGUUGACUUCCUGAAGAAUAGCCUGAGAAAAGACUGAAACAGAAAACUGAACAACCUACAAUAUAGCAUAUGCUGUCAGGCAUGAAUGUCACGAAUUCAGCUUGACAUCAAGGCCAUAUGCUGAGGUCUGUUUUUCCAGAAAACAGACUGUACAAUUUUGCUGACCUGUACAAUGAUCAAAAUGACCAUACUACAGUGACAGCUUACAUUAAUAAAUGUCCAAUAGUGUGCACUUAACAUUUACACAAUUGGCCUUAAGUUAGUUCUGUUAUUCUUUUGAAGAACAAACUAAGUUACAUGCUGAAGAUAUACAGAACACACCUCUGUCUAAUCUUCAGGCCAGCUGGCGUGUCAAUGAUGAAUGUCAUAAACAAUCCAGUUUGACAUUCAGUCAAGUAGGCCUUAAUGCCAGGUCUGGGUCUUCCUUGAUAAACCAGACUGGAAAUAAAUACUAAGUUCUUGACAGAACACCUGCUGUUCUAUUUCUUAGUAUCUAAUGACAGGUAUGAAUGUCACAACACUCAGUUUGACCAUUCAAUAAAUCCUGUGUUAGCUAGUCCUGCAGUAACUACAAUGUAGUCACACAUACAUGUCAUGACAUCAGUCAGGACAUUAGUAACCAUCUAGUGUUUUACCAUAUAAUGCAGCCAAUUAAACACCUACACUCUCCCUCCUUCUUCUUUGCAAAGCUUCCAUAUCUCUUUGCUGAAGAGCUUUCCUCUCGAGUUAAGCGUCCUUCACGGACCCCCUCUUCCAAUCUCAUUCCCAUAUUCACCAUCUCGGUGAAGUCUGAGGGAGCACUGACUAUUAUUCUCUCAUAAUAGAACGAGCUCAAGGUCUUCAAGAAGAUCUUGGUCAUCUAUUUCUCCUCAAGGGGAGGCACUAUCUGAGCUGCCAACUCGCGCCACCUCUGGGCGUAUUCUUUGAAGGUCUCUUUCUCUUUUUGGGACAUCGCCCUCAACUGGUCCCUAUCAGGAGCCAUAUCCACAUUGUAUUUAUAUUGCUUGACGAAGGCCUCGCCAAGGUCGUUGAAAGAGCGAAUGUUCGAACUUUCCAGACCCAUGUACCAACGGAGAGAGGCAUCGGACAUACUGUCCUGGAAAUAGUGGAUGAGGAGCUGGUCAUUAUCAGUUUGUGUCGACAUCUUGCGAGCAUACAUCACAAGAUGACUGAGAGGGCAUGUGUUUCCCUUAUACUUCUAAAAGUCAGGCACUUUGAAUUUAAUAGGGAUUUUCACGUUGGGCACAAGGCACAACUCAGCAGCACUUUUACCAAAGAGGUCCUUCCCCCUCAAAGUCUUCAGUUCCUUGCGAAGCUCAAGGAAUUGGUCUUUCAUGUCAUCCAUCUUUUCAUAAACUCUGGGCCCUCAGAUGGCUCAGAAUGAUAGAUGGUAUCUUCGACCCUUGGUAGUGUGUGCACGACGGGAGGUGACACUGGAAGGACCGGGCUAGAUGCCAGCAGAGAAGCAAGAGUUGGAGCAAAACCUUCUGGCACAAAGUUGGCGGGCAUUCCCCAAGGGAACCCGGCUGGCAUAGAUGGUGCAAAGUGAGUUGUUGCAGCAGGCACAGUAGAAGUUACGAUCUCAGAAAUGACCGUCCUCUGGGGAGGAGUUGAGGGUGUUAGAGAAGACUGGCUCUGGGCAGCUAAGAAUGACUCCAUCAGGGCAGUCAAUCUGGCUACUUCCUCCUUCAAUUCGCGGUUCUCUUGUUCCAAAUGAUCCAUCAGUCUUGCGGAGUUGGCUCUAGUGUAAUACCGAUGAGUCAGCUUGUCUUCAAAAUAAAUGAAGAAUACAGAGUUAGACCAUAGGACAAGAAGCUUGGAGCAAAACCUGCUUAUGCACAUGAUGCAUGCAAUGCUUGUGCAUAUGAUUUAUUUUUAUUUCAGAGGAACUUUAGAGUUCUAUUUGCAAAAAAAAAAGGGAAAUAUUACAUUUUCUAUCAUAUAUGGAAACAUCUCAUCAAUAAUAUCUGGAAAAUAUUUUUUUACACCAAAGAAGUACAACAUUGGUAACCAAACACAAGAGAAAAGGAAAAUAAUCAUCCUAUGGAUCCCUAGAAACAAUCAUCUAAAGCUCGGGACACAGGAAAAUAUGAUGCACAAAGCCUCUUAACCUCCUCCUCAUAGGUUGCCUCCAUAUCUGCCUUCUCCUUGGCGAGUCGAUCAUACUUCCUCUUCCAAAACCUAGAAGACUGAGGAAGUAGAGAAGUCCAUGCAUCAUCAGGAUCAUCAAUGACCUGAUGCUCAAGGAAUUCUAUCAAAGCAUCUUUCUCCUUGAUCUGCUGAAGCAACUCUUCUCGUUCACGGAUCCAAGCACGUGAACGGUCUUCAUCUCUCAACUCCUCUACUCCUUGAUCAGGGAGGGUUGAUGGCCCAGCCAUAACCAAAGGCGUAGGUCUUGGAUACUCGUAAGGCAUGAGGUACUCAGAAGCUCUCCUCCUAACCCAAGUAGUGUAAGGCUCCAAAGCGACAUAGUUCUUUGGACCUAACUCCUUCCUUCCUUUCCUAUGAAUCUUGCGCCAAGCGCGGACCAUCCUGCCCUUCAAGCCUUGGGGAUCUUUACCCUCCUGAAAGAACAUACCCUCCAACAGAAUGUUAUUGGGUUUAUCCUUUAGGGGGAACCCAAGCUGACGACGUGCCAAAAUGGGGUUGUAACUAAUCCCACCACAUGUACCAAGAAGAGGUACAUUGGAGAAUUCACCAUAAGAGUCGAUAAUCUGCACACCAUCAUACACACGGUUGUACCAAGAGAUAUCAUCAUUGGUGAGAGACAUUAGUCUCGUGGACCACCGUAGACAUCCUUUGUUAUCCUUGAAGGCGACCGUCUGCGGUAAGUGAGAAAUAAACCACUUAUACAACAGAGGCAAACAGCACACAAUGGCACCACCACCAUUUGCAUUCCUCAUAUGCAAAGAAAAAUAAGUGUCACCCAACAGAGUCGGAACGGGAUUAAGAGUAGAGAAAAUCCUAAUAGCGUUCACAUCCACAAACUUGUCGAUGUUGGGGAAUAACACUAACCAUCAUAUGCAAAGAAAAAUAAGUGUCACCCAACAGAGUCGGAACGGGAUUAAGAGUAGAGAAAAUCCUAAUAGCGUUCACAUCCACAAACUUGUCGAUGUUGGGGAAUAACACUAACCCAUAGAUGAGCAGUACAAAUAUGGCCUCAAAGGCGUCCUCACUCAUGGCCUUCCCAUACAUAGUAGCUUCAGCAAUGAGGAACUCAGAAGGGAGACCUUGAAUUCCACCUUUGGUAGUCAUAUGAGCACCAAUCAGAGAUUCAUCUAUAUGCAACAUAUCAACUAUCUCUUGAGAAGUAGGAAUACUCUCCAAGCCACUGAACGACAACUGGUCUAGAAUAGGUAUACCCACAAGGUAGGCAUACUCCUCAAGCGUAGGCAAAAGCUGAAAAUCUGAAAACGUGAAGCAGCGAUACGAAGGAUCAUAAAACUGCACCAAUACACUCAUCAACCCUUCAUCCACUUGAGUAGUCAGAAGAGGAAGAAGCUUCCCAAAACGAGCUUUAAAACCCAAAGGAUCAAUACAUAGGAUGUCAAAUUCCUUAGCUCUUUCAAGUCUGGUUGUCUGAAAUUGUACUUCUUUGUAUUCCUUCUUUGUCUUUCCAUGUCUGAAAAUUUGCAAAUAGACCUCUUAAGUUCCUUGAAAAUUUUCUUAUUAUUUUGAUGAUAUGGAUGCAGAUGGGUGCAUAAAUCAACAACCACACUUAAGGAUCAAACAGAGCACACCAAGCAAAGGUCAUGGGAUGGGUCAUGGCAUCCUUAAUAUCAAUCAUCCAUUUUUGUGGAUUAUGGCUUACACCUUAUCAACACCCAAGUUCCAUUGAUAUUAAGGAUACAUGAACGGAUCAACCACGAAUCAAGGGUUUGUUGCAAGUCACGAGCAUGGAGUCUCGGUUUAGAACCACCCAAAGGGAGUGUACAGAGAGAGAUCAUGAUGAAGAGAUGAGAAAAGACUAUACAAGUUUAUUUUUUUAAAUUUUUUUGUGUAGGAUGGAUAAACCAUUGCUACGUACCAUCUUUAAAAAAAGAUUAGGAUCAAAACCUCGUAGUAGUCAGCGGUAAAAAUCUCCAAGAGUUGGUGAAUUGAUUGGUCCAAAAGCUUAAGGUCUUUUGUUAUCCAAGGAGUAAAACUCAACCUAAAACCACAAAUCCACCAUGUGAGGAUAGCUUCACAUGCUAGUGAGGGUGUAACCUGAUAAUAAGCAUGGAAGACUCAUUGUCAUCAUUAAGGAUAUAAGUGAGCAUUUAUACUACCUCAGGAUAACUCAAACCUAACAGCUAAAGGUUACUGAAAAUUUGAUUAAGAAAGUGCCAUGAACACAAAAAGAUUUAGAUGGGUUAUAUUUACCAAUGAAAGUUAUUUACAAACUAUGGUCAAAUGGAUUAAAGAGUCAAUUCAAAAGCUUUAUGAAAAGAAAGUUUUGAAAAUCAAAAGGCAUAAGGCUGUAGGUUUCUAAUGUUGAAAACAAGUGUAGAUGUUGCACAAAGUUUUGGCUUGGGUUAGAGGUGAGAGAAGAAGAAGAAUGGCUAAAAGUCUUAAAACAUACAAGAGGAAGGGACAAGAGAAAACCAAAUGGAGUCUCUCUUUGAGAUCAAUAUUGAUGAUGCCAGUAGCUCCNNNNNNNNNNNNNNNNNNNNNNNNNNNNNNNNNNNNNNNNNNNNNNNNNNNNNNNNNNNNNNNNNNNNNNNNNNNNNNNNNNNNNNNNNNNNNNNNNNNNNNNNNNNNNNNNNNNNNNNNNNNNNNNNNNNNNNNNNNNNNNNNNNNNNNNNNNNNNNNNNNNNNNNNNNNNNNNNNNNNNNNNNNNNNNNNNNNNNNNNNNNNNNNNNNNNNNNNNNNNNNNNNNNNNNNNNNNNNNNNNNNNNNNNNNNNNNNNNNNNNNNNNNNNNNNNNNNNNNNNNNNNNNNNNNNNNNNNNNNNNNNNNNNNNNNNNNNNNNNNNNNNNNNNNNNNNNNNNNNNNNNNNNNNNNNNNNNNNNNNNNNNNNNNNNNNNNNNNNNNNNNNNNNNNNNNNNNNNNNNNNNNNNNNNNNNNNNNNNNNNNNNNNNNNNNNNNNNNNNNNNNNNNNNNNNNNNNNNNNNNNNNNNNNNNNNNNNNNNNNNNNNNNNNNNNNNNNNNNNNNNNNNNNNNNNNNNNNNNNNNNNNNNNNNNNNNNNNNNNNNNNNNNNNNNNNNNNNNNNNNNNNNNNNNNNNNNNNNNNNNNNNNNNNNNNNNNNNNNNNNNNNNNNNNNNNNNNNNNNNNNNNNNNNNNNNNNNNNNNNNNNNNNNNNNNNNNNNNNNNNNNNNNNNNNNNNNNNNNNNNNNNNNNNNNNNNNNNNNNNNNNNNNNNNNNNNNNNNNNNNNNNNNNNNNNNNNNNNNNNNNNNNNNNNNNNNNNNNNNNNNNNNNNNNNNNNNNNNNNNNNNNNNNNNNNNNNNNNNNNNNNNNNNNNNNNNNNNNNNNNNNNNNNNNNNNNNNNNNNNNNNNNNNNNNNNNNNNNNNNNNNNNNNNNNNNNNNNNNNNNNNNNNNNNNNNNNNNNNNNNNNNNNNNNNNNNNNNNNNNNNNNNNNNNNNNNNNNNNNNNNNNNNNNNNNNNNNNNNNNNNNNNNNNNNNNNNNNNNNNNNNNNNNNNNNNNNNNNUUAAAAAAGAUUAGGAUCAAAACCUCGUAGUUCGGGGUAAAAAUCUCAAAAUGAGUUGGUGAAUUGAUUGGUCCAAAAGCCUUAAGGUCUUUUGUUAUCCAAGGGAGAAAACUCAACCUAAAACCACAAAUCCACCAUGUGAGGAUAGCUUCAACAUGCUAGUGAGGGGUUAACCCUAUAAUAAGCAUGGAAGACUCAUUGUCCAUCACUAAGGAUAUAAGUGAGCAUUAUAUCUACCUCAAGGAUAACUCAAACCUAACAGCUAAAGGUUAUGAAAAAAUUUGAUUAAGAAAGUGGCCAUUGAAACCACAAAAAAGAUAUUUAGAUGGGUUAUAUUUACCAAUGAAAAGUAUUUACAAAAUAUGGUCAAAGUGGAUUAAAGAUUCAAUUCAAAAUAAGCUUUAUGAAAAGAAAGUUUGAAAAUCAAAAGCAUAAGGCUUAGGUUUCUAAUGUUGAAAACAAGUGUUAGAUGUUUGCACAAAAGUUUUGGCUUGGGUUAGAGUGGAGAGAAGAAGAAGAAUGGCUAAAGUCCUAAACAUACAAGAGGUAAGGGACAAGAAGCAAAACCACAAAUGGAGUUCCUCUCUUGAGAUCAUAUUGAUGAUCCAAGUAGCUCCCAUCCUUUGGAAUAAGCAAUCACAUAAGCAUAAACUCAAGCAAUCAAUCAAUCAAAUGAACUCUUGGAAAGUUCCUCAAGGUAUCUUGGAUCCCUUUCUCUUAGAAGCUCAUGGUAAUGGUUCCUCAAUUUGGAUCAAGUUGGGAUCCCUAGCACAAGAACACACAUAUUAAAAGGUUCUAGCAAACAAAAAAGGAAUGGACAAGAAGAGUUUAGAAGUUGGUCCUUUCAAAGUCAUCUUCAACAUUGAGCAUUCUAAAGGCCUAAUGCCUAGUUGCUCUUUGACUUUUAUAGCACUCUAGUUUCUCUUUGACUCCAAAUUUGCAUAGGGAAGGUCCUAAAGUCUAAGUCCAUUUUGUCCAAUUCUUUGCAUUUGGUCAAUAACAAUCAAACAAAACACAAGCACAAAAGUAUAUACACAAUCACAUGCUCAAGUGAGCAAAAGGCAAAUUGCAUUAACAUAAACAUGUGCUCCAAUGAGCAAAGGAAAAAGCAAAUGACUAAUGUGUACAAGAAUAACAAAUUGCAUAAAUGUAAAGUGCAAAAAGUAAAUGUUAAUGGUUAAUAGUUAGUAGUUAGUGUGCCAUAAGGAAAAUUUAGCGCUAUGUUAAGCAAUCGUAAUUGGACUUAUGUAGAAGUCACAACCAUCUGAGGCCGGUCAAUAAUAAUGUAGGCAACAACACAAGUUAGAAGUCUUGAUAGUGACCAAGUCCAACAACUUGCCAUGCCAAAAGAAGAAGAGAACGAUGCUGUAUUGGUUUAAGUCCUUUGCAUGAUUUAGGAAGCAAUCUAUCCUUAAUGCAAAGUCAUUUCACAAUUGAUCAUUUGAUCAAGAUGAAUUAAUUGAAUCAAGAAGAUUAAACCUCCUAUCAAUGCUAACUUACUCAAACCUUUAACUCAUUGAUCAAAAAGAAAAGAAGAAGGAGAAGGAUGAAGAUGGAAUGGAAAUGAAAAAGAAAUAAGUACAUUAAAUGAAAUGAAUGUACCAAUCAACAAGGUUGACCAAUGACAUUGACGGAUCAUUGGUCAAACAAUCAAAACAGAAGUGAGAUGAAGAUUCUGGAAUCAAGAAUGAACAAAUAGUUUUUUGGCAAUUUUUAAAUAUUUGAAAAUAAACUGAAUUAAAAAUAUUAAAGAAUGGUCAAACUUCAAAAUAACUUCACAAUCAACUUUGAAAAGCCAAGUGAUUAUCCCAAGUUCAACAAGGUAAACAAAGUUUGAAAUUUUUUUUUGAGCAUUUUAAAAGUCGAAACUAUUUUUUAUCAAUUAAAAAUGAAUAAAAUAACCUAUUGAACUAAAAUCUCAAAUAAAUCUCAAUCAAUUAAAAGUGUGAUGAGAAUAUUUUUUCAAUAGAUCCUAUCAUUCAACUAGGUUGAGAAAUAUUUUUGAUUUUUUUGAAUAUCAAAAAUAUUAAAAUGAAUAAAAAUAACAGAAAAGAAGAAAAUUCACAAAAAAUAUCAAAUGAUGAAAUAAAAAAUAUUAAAAUCAUUGUUUAGGAAACUAGAAUUAAAAUAGAGAAAAAGCAAUUGUCCCCAUAUUUUUUGGAUUUUAAAAUGAGAGAGUUGUGAAUUUUUGAAGUUAAAUUGAAAUAAAAGAAAAAAAUUGGAAAAUUAUAAAAAUCAGAAAAAAACCACAGCGCUUGGAUGGAACCUCAUUAAUUGACGUGUCCAAUCUGAUGGUCAUGAAGCGCGCGCGUACCAAAGGCUCAAGUCAAACGCGUCACACAAUGCAUUUAAAAAAGUCAUAACAAACAAAGGUCAUGAUUCAAUCUAGGAAAUAGAUCAAACAGUCCACAUGGGAUCUGGCAACAGGGACGGUGGCCAGCGCCACCGUCUUCUCCGGUGAGCUCCGACGAGGGCAAAAAACACAGAGGUUCAAAUGCUCACCAAAAUGGACGAUCUAGGCAUCAAUCGAAAGAGGAAGUGAUGUACAUCACUCUUAUACCACUCACUUCCACUCUAGAUUCCUAUUAAGAGAGAAAUCAGAGAUGGAAGCUUGAUGGUGUUCGACAUGAACUUGCUUGAUUUCAAAAAUUGAGCAUACAGCAAUGAUGCCUCUAUAGAGAGGACUUCAGACAACACAAUAUCAAGGCCAACAGAUCAAAGAAUAAGGAGUUUCGAAGAACAAACCAGUUGAUGCACACCUUUGAAUUGUGAAGCUUUGAUUCCCUUUCCUUGGUUCCUUUUUCAAAACAGAACUUCAAUGGAUCAGAUGAUGAAGGUUUAGGAACUUUAGAUCUGAAGAUUCAACCAAAUUCAAUCGAAUUUCAGAUCUGAAUAUUUUGAAGAAAAUGGAUUUAGUUCCUUUGGUAUGGACAAUGGAUCAGAUGAUGAAGGUUUAGGAACUUUAGAUCUGAAGAUUCAACCAAAUUCAAUCGAAUUUCAGAUCUGAAUAUUUUGAAGAAAAUGGAUUUAGUUCCUUUGGUAUGGUUGGGAAUUCACUAUUGCAGCAUUUCAGGCGCCCUUAGGUUACCAUUUGAAGUGAGCAAGGCUUUCUAUUUAUAGAUGGAGCUGAUGCCAAGUGAGGAAAAACUUGUGUGCAUGAAGCUUUGGGUCCUCCGUGCAUGGGCCUGUACAGGCGCAUGCGAGGCCCAAAAGCUGAUGGAAAUGAAAGCUGAGCUCAUUCUGAAGUGAAAUGGACGUGCAUUUUGAAUGGUAUUUGCUUGGGCAUGAAGCUUUCACAUGAGUUCCAUAAUUAUGCCUAAAUGUUCACCUCUUCGAAAAUGCCAAUUAGAAAAUCCAAACAUAAGCAUGUGGGUAAUGGUUGGAAAGGUAUUGACAUAAGGAACAAAUGUUAUGUUGGACAAAAACUCAUUUGAAGUGUGGAAAUUUAUGAAGAAAAUCCAAACAUAAGCAUGUGGGUAAUGGUUGGAAAGGUAUUGACAUAAGGAACAAAUGUUAUGUUGGACAAAAACUCAUUUGAAGUGUGGAAAUUUAUGAAAACAGGCCAUGAAGUUCAUAGUACAAAACAUGCCUUUGAGAAUUUUGUCAAAAUGAACAACUUCAAACCCUUCUGAUUUGAUGAUGCAAGCUUCAAAUGAAAAAACCUCCAACAUCAAAGUUGUAGAUCUUUUCCAGAAAAUCAAGAUGGACUUAACGUUUACAUCAUUUAGAUUUUUGAUUAAGAAGUUAUGGGCACUUGAAGUUGGACUUUUUUGCCUUUCAAUGCAUUUGGUCCAAAGUGACCUAUAAUGUUUUGCAUUAUCACAUGUAUUUUCUUUGAAAUUAUUAAAUUUUGUUCAACAUAACAUUUGAAGUAGACAAAAUAAGAUUUCCAAUUAAUUUGAUCCCACCUCAAAAUCAUGAAAAAUAAAUGAGUUAUGUUCUUGGGAAGUUGACCCAAAAUUAGGGUUUCAGUCAAAAUGACCUAUAAUGUCUUAGAAUGGGAGAUUACCUUCCAAGAUUCAAAUCAAUUUUUAAUGAACAUGAAAGUUUUUCAUAUUGUCCUUAAGAACAUGUUUUCUUUUAGGAUCAUCUCCAUUUGACCAACACAUAAAAAGUUAGGUCUCAGUGCAUUUCAAAAUAGUCAGAUGAAUGGACUGAUCAACUUUUCAAGUCCACAACUCAUAUCUUGAUGAAUUGAUGAUUGAGGAUACUCAAAUAAGUUCAAAUAUGCAUGAAAUGAUGAAUUAAAGAACUUCCCUUGAUUUUAUUUGACCAUGGGCUAAGGUUGCCUCAUGAGCAAGGCAUUGUGGAUGAUCAGAUGAAUUAGGGUUUCCUUGAGGAACAAACCUCAAACCCUUUGACUUUCUUUGAUCAAAAUGAUGAAUUGAGAUGCUAGGGAGGCAUACUUGAUGGAUGAGAGCUUUGGGAACCAUUGCCAUGCUUGCUUUCAUCUUCUCUUGGCCAUAUCAUUGCACCAAUGAUCUCCUAGAAGCUUUGGGCCUUGAGAUUGCUCAAGCUACAAACAAGAAAUGUUAGUGACAUAUUUUUGUGCUUUUGGUUAGUGAAUAAAAAAUGAGAAAAGCAAUAAUAUACAAUUCAAGCAUGCUUGGUGAUCUCAAACCAAUCACAAGAGAUUGUGCUUUUGGUUAGUGAAUAAAAAAUGAGAAAAGCAAUAAUAUACAAUUCAAGCAUGCUUGGUGAUCUCAAACCAAUCACAAGAGAUACCACCCAAAGGCAAGGGGAACCAAAGUGCUUGUGAUCCUUGAGGCUUUGCAAAUGCAAUGUUAUGAUGCCAUAAGUAAUCUUAGGGCCAAAAUUGGGGUCUUACACCUUCUGAUGACUAUGUUACCUUGACUGAUGGAGGAGAACCUGAAUGUUAUGAUGAAGCCAUGGAGAGUGAUGAAAAGAAGAAGUGGCUGGAUGCUAUGCAAGAUGAAAUGAAGUCUUUGCAUGAUAAUCAUACUUUUGAUUUGGUGAAAUGGCCUAAGGGUAAGAAGGCUUUAGAAAACAGGUGGAUCUUCAGGGUGAAGCAAGAAAGCACUUCUACAUCUCCAAGGUAUAAAGCCAAAUUGGUUGUGAAAGGUUUCAGAUAGAGAAAGGGUGUUGAUUUCAAUGAGAUUUUUUCUCCUGUGGUGAAGAUGUCAUCCAUUAGAACCGUGUUGAGUUUGGCUGCUACUCAAUUAAACCUCCAUCUCGUUUACCUACAGUUUUGGCGAAACCUUCAUGGUGACUUGGAGGAAGAGAUUUACAUGAAGCAACCUGAUGGCUUUCUGGUUAAAGGCAAGGAAGACUAUGUGUGUAGGCUUAGAAAGAGUCUAUAUGGUUUGAAGCAGGCCCCGCGUCAGUGGUACAAGAAGUUUGAGUCAGUUAUGUGUGAGCAACGCUACAAGAAGACUACUUCUGAUCAUCGUGUCUUUGUUAAAAAGUUCGUUGAUGAUGAUUUCAUUAUCCUGUUAUUGUAUGUUGAUGACAUGCUUAUUAUUGGGAAAAAUAUUUCCAUGAUUGACAGGUUGAAGAAGCAAUUGGGCGAGUCAUUUGCCAUGAAAGACAUGGGAGCUGCUAAGUAGAUUCUUGGUAUAAGAAUCAUGUGUGACAGGAACAAGAAGAAACUUUGGCUGUCACAAGAACACUAUGUUGAAAGAGUGUUACAGAGGUUCCAGAUGGAAAAUGCUAAGCCUGUAAGUACUCCUCUUGCUACUCACUUUAAAUUGAGUACUAGUCAGAGUCCUUCCAAUGAAGCUGAAAAAUCAGAUAUGCAACGGGUUCCUUAUACAUCUGUUGUGGGUAGUUUAAUGUAUGAAAUGGUGUGUACAAGGCCUGAUAUUGCACAUGCUGUUGGUACAGUUAGUAGAUUUCUGUCUAAUCCAGGUAGAGAGCAUUGGAAUGCUGUGAAAUGGAUUUUGAGGUAUCUUUGUGGGAUACCCAGCUUGAGGCUUUGUUUUGGAGGUGAUAAGCCUACUCUUGUGGGAUACUGAUCUGAUAUGGCUGGAGAUAUUGAUUCCAGAAAGUCUACUUCAGGCUACUUGAUUAAGUUGCAGGGGAGUGUGUGCAUGGCAAUCCAGAUUGCAGAGGUGGUGUUGCAUUGUCCACUACUGAGCAGAGUUCAUUGCCAUUACAGAAGCAUGCAAGGUGUUAUGGUUGAAGAAAUUCUUGCAAGAGCUUGGUUUUGUUCAAGAUAAGUACUUGCUAUUUUGUGAUAGUCAAGGUGCAAUUCAUCUUGGUAAGAUUCAACUUUUCAUUCUAGGUCCAGCUGAUGUUAGGUAUCAUUGGAUACGUGAUGCUUUGGAUGCUGGGUUGUUGGAAUUGGCCAAGGUUCAUACAGAUGAUAAUGGUGCUGAUAUGAUGACCAAGGCAUUACCGAGAAACAAGUUUGAAACUUGUUGUGAGAUCGCCGAUUUGGCAGUCACCUCCACAUAGUUGUGAGGGGGAGAUAUGUUGGGUUUUGGGCUCCCUUCCUAUAUGGAGAAAGGCCCAAUAUAUGCAAGCCCAUAUGUCUCACUUAACCAAGUGGAGAGAGGUCAGAUUAGGGUAAGUGAGAGAGCUGAAUUCAAAAUAGUGAGGCAAGAGAAAAGUGAGAGAGGAAGAGCAAAACCCAUUUUCGCAUAAAAUAGAGCAGCUGCACUAGAUUCGCGAUUUCUCCUUCGUUCACCGUCGGAUCGGGAUGAAAUUUGGACAGCCGAUUCGUGACUCGUGGUACUUCAAUCUGACUGGUUGGAUCGUCGAUCAGAGGUCUGAGGUGGGAGAAAUCAAGCUCAGACAGUAGCAGUAUUUUCUGGUUUUUCUGUUGAACUUUGUUCUCAAUUUCAUGCUUGUUUUCUCAUUGUUUUGGCUGAUUGUUAUGUUGGUUACCUUGUUGUUUUUGGCUGGUUAUUGAGCACGAAUUUGUGCCAUAUUUAAAAGUCUCUUGUACCCAUAUUUUGGUCAUAGUGGAACUUUAUUACUGACUUGGUCCCGUGGUUGUUUACUUCUCACAUUGAGAAGGUUUUUCCACGUUUAAAAUUAUUGUGUCCCUUGUGUUGGUGAUUUUAGUUGCCGUGAUUAUUUGUUGUUGCUCCUCACAGAUUCUUGCAAGUUUGGGAAAUUGAUUAUCCGCUGCAUAUUGCUCUGUUAGAGUUGUUAUUGUUAUUUGUUGUUGAAUUUUCCCAUUUUAGUUGCCGUGAUUAUUUGUUGUUGCUCCUCACAGAUUCUUGCAAGUUUGGGAAAUUGAUUAUCCGCUGCAUAUUGCUCUGUUAGAGUUGUUAUUGUUAUUUGUUGUUGAAUUUUCCCAUCAGAAGAGGUGUAUGAAGAGAUCAUAAUGAAAAUGUAAGCGAGAGAUUGAAACAGGAAAAAGUCAAGGGAAGGUAAAUUUAUAGAGGUCCAAUAAAAUAGUGACAUUCAACAUAAGAGGGAGCCGAAACUCCAUAAAAAGAAAGAGAUUCAGCCAAAUUCUUUAAAAAGGAAAAGCAAAACUAUGCUUCUUGCAGGAGACAAAACCUCAGACUAUGCAAGAGUUUGGGGUGAAAGGUCUUUGGGGAAAUCAAGAGGUAUAUUGGUAGAAAAGGAGACAGAGGGUAUAUUUAGAGGAAUUCUAAUUAUGUGGGAAAUUACGCUCAAUCAAAUCCCAAAUUCAGUUUCAAAGGGUUUGGCUUUCUUGGAAUUAACCUUGACUGAAAAGGUAACACGUGUUACUUCAUUAGUAUUUAGUUAUCUUGUAAUAUAGUAGACAGGUUUUUAGGGUCUGAUGACUUCUCGACAAGUGUAUCGAUAGUUUCACAGUAAUAACAAGAUCAAAUUCACAGGGACUGCCUUUUAACAAGCUAAAAUGUGUGGAAUGUAUCGAAAAGACUAAAAUUGGGGGGAGGAGGGCUCGAGUUUGCAAUGCUAAAAUUUGAUAAGUGCUUAAACAGAAUUCCGAAAGCAGCCAGGUUGUGUUUAGAAUCCCCUAUUUCUCUAUUGUUGUUGAUGUUUUAUGCCUUGUAUGAAUGAUCUUAUCACUAUAACCCUACAGUGAAUUAACAAAGUCACUAUAACUAAUCCCUCGCGAAAUAACUCAUUAAUCACUACUUGGAGUUUUUUAUCCCUAGUCCACCAGCGGAAGUAGGAUUAGGCGAUACACAUAACAUUAAUUCCCUAUGUCACUACUCGGGGUCUCGUAUUCCUAUUUAACCAGCAUAAGUAUAACAAUUGUCCUAAAUCUAACACAUAGACUAAUGAAAGGGAUAAGUCAAGGUGAAAUAUCCUUCUUAGAAAGAGAUCUGAAGACCACUCCAUCUAGCAUUGGUCGAACAUCAUUUAGUUCCUUAAACCUCUUAGAGAAAUAAGAAAAAACGUGGUUUUAAUCUCUGUCACUCCUUAUACCCCAUCAUUGUCUUUUUCUUAAGGGUCAUAACAAUUUAUCUUAAAUAACAUAUACAUGAUCUACCCCGCCUACCUAAAUACUACAUUAUUUGGUAUAUGAAGCUACUUAUUUUAUAGAAGAAAAUAAAUUAGAAUUUCACAAAAUAAUUAUUAAUAAGAAGCCUAUAUAAUAAAAACUGUAGUGUAGUCCCAUAAAUGCUACUCUAUUUUUAUUUUCUUUUUUUAUAUAAAAAAGGGGGCUAAAAACCCAACGAAAAAAGAAGUCUAAAUACACCCUCUAACACGUUUAAAGAGUGAAGUCUCGAAAUUAUCAUCAUUUCAACUCAUUUGACAUGAGAUUCAAAAGAAUGAGGAAUUCAUGAUUGUCAAAGUAAGAUUAUAAUUAGCUAUCCAAAUUGUACUAUGAUUUCCUUCCUGCCACGAAUGGUUGAACUUGAUGUGUCAAUUCUUAUUAGUCAUCCUUAUGAUUCUAUGAAUUAAGGUUACUCAGUUGUGAUCUUCCUUAGUAUCUUGGUUAACCAUAUCUAUCAUGACUUUAGAAUCACUCUCUACCAUCAAAUUUGUAAUUCUAUCAUAUCUCGUUAGCUCAAUCUCAUGCAACAUCAUACGCAUCCCCGCGGUGAAAAUAUUACACAAAUCAAUUUUUUGUGAAUAGCUCAUCACCAAGUUUUUGGAGGAGACUUUAAACAAGCGUUGCAAGUUGACUUUUUGGAGACACCAUCGCAAUUGAUGUCGCUCGACUUUUUUAUAUCAAUUUAAUUCAUAGAAUAUAUGUGAAUGAAACCAUAAAAUUGAAAUUUUAAUACUCUUUUCCAAUAAUAUAAUAAUUUUAUAAAAAUAAAAUUCUUACAAUACAUUUCAUUUUGUGCAUAACUAUGAUGUCACAAAAUUUUUGCGAUAUAUUUAUUUUAUAAAAUAUCCUCCCUAUCAUAAAAGUUUGAAGAGUUAAUUGGAAACAAAUAAAUUUCAAUUAUUGGAAACACAUAAGAGACAAUUAGGAAUCAUUCUAAUUUUACAGAUGGUAUUUUACAACCUCUUAAGAGGUAAAAUUAUAUAUUUUUAAAUUAUCACAACAUGUACUUUAUACACUAUAAAAGAUUCAAACCACAUUCGAUUUGUUUCAUGUAAAGAGAGAAAAAUAUGGUUAAAACUAUUAAGUUUGUUUAUGCUUUAAUUUUAUUUCUUUUUAUAAUUUUUAUUGCAAAGAAUGUUGAUGGUAAUUUACCUUUUUCAUCCAUUUCAAAAUCCCUUCUUUAAUUGCAAUUCGUAUAAAUAAUUAUUUAUUUAUUUUAGUAACAUUUAUUUUGUUAUUUCUUUACAGCAUUACAAGACUGUAAAGUGGAUGCUGAUUGUCCACAAAAUUCUUGGACUCGCAUAUAUAGGUGCAUUGAAAACAAAUGUAGAUAUACAAGAGUGAUGAAAUAUAAUGAAUGACUAUGUGGCCCUAGAGACUAUAUUUACAACAUGAAGAGAAGAAUAAGUUUUUACACUAAUAAAAAUCUAUUCAAUAGACAUUUUUAUUUUUUAUUUUGCGGAAUUUGAGAUUAUGGCUUUGUAAUUUAAAAUCUUUAUAAUAAAAUGAAAUAAGGCAUUGAAGAAUAUUAUAAUUAGAGUGUUUUUUUCUCUAUUUUGGCUGCAUUGGCUUCCCAUCUAUCCAAAUUUCCAUUGAAUCUAACAUUGUUUUUAGUUGUAAGCAUAAUUAAGAAGGAAUG
Molecule: long non-coding RNA, 36210 nt
Filed under: Lathyrus oleraceus (garden pea)
Lineage: Eukaryota; Viridiplantae; Streptophyta; Magnoliopsida; Fabales; Fabaceae
Description: Pisum sativum (pea) long non-coding RNA (PSAT_LNC021717)
Source: RNAcentral